This 301-nucleotide ribosomal RNA is filed under the name uncultured bacterium. Its description in RNAcentral is "partial 16S ribosomal RNA". It matches the Rfam family "Bacterial small subunit ribosomal RNA", at positions 509 to 807 of the family's 1533-position model. The record is from RNAcentral.
CAGCAGCCGCGGUAAUACGAAGGGGGCUAGCGUUGCUCGGAAUGACUGGGCGUAAAGGGCGCGUAGGCGGCGAUCAAAGUCAGGCGUGAAAUUCCUGGGCUCAACCUGGGGGCUGCGUUUGGUACUUGAUUGCUAGAGUGGGGAAGAGGGUCGUAGAAUUCCCAGUGUAGAGGUGAAAUUCGUAGAUAUUGGGAAGAACACCGGUGGCGAAGGCGGCGACCUGGUCCUUGACUGACGCUGAGGUGCGAAAGCGUGGGGAGCAAACAGGAUUAGAUACCCGGGUAGUCCCUGUCUCUUAUAC